UUCAACGUGAGAGUUUGAUCCUGGCUCAGAGCGAACGCUGGCGGCAGGCUUAACACAUGCAAGUCGAGCGGGCCCUUCGGGGUCAGCGGCGGACGGGUGAGUAACGCGUGGGAACGUGCCUUCUGGUUCGGAAUAACCCUGGGAAACUAGGGCUAAUACCGGAUACGCCCUUAUGGGGAAAGGUUUACUGCCGGAAGAUCGGCCCGC
RNAcentral lists this ribosomal RNA (207 nucleotides) under Methylobacterium sp. yr668. RNAcentral's name for it is "16S rRNA. Bacterial SSU". It matches the Rfam family "Bacterial small subunit ribosomal RNA", at positions 1 to 234 of the family's 1533-position model. Lineage: Bacteria; Pseudomonadati; Pseudomonadota; Alphaproteobacteria; Hyphomicrobiales; Methylobacteriaceae. The record is from RNAcentral.